UUAAACUUAUUUUAAACUUAUUAUUCAUUAUUAAGAUUAAGCAUGAAAACUUUAUUUGCAAUUCACACAUGCGCACGGAUUUUAAGGCAGGAAGAGCCGGUAUCGUUGUAUCGUAUUCCAGUAUCGGUUUGUCAUUAGUUAGCUGACAUUACGUUAGCUUACACGGCAGGAAGUUAUAAAGUCAGUCGUUGGGUGUCCGGUGUGAUAGAGUGGAAACAAAAGUGAAAUGGAAAAAAAGAAAGAGUGGAAAAGUACUCACCGAAAAUCCAGCCCAAAACGGGCAUGAGUGUCGAACCCUGGGUGAUGUGGUGAGCGCCAGAGCCGCAAAGCUGACGGCCAGGAUGAGGCUCCCCAGUACCAUCUGAGACACCCCGAGAGCCAGCAUGAUCCGGGUCCGAGUCCGGUAUUCCCUCAGCCGGGAGAGGCUGCGGGACAGCGACGCCGGGCUUAGGGAGCCCUGGCCGCUGAUCCCCGCCCGGGGCAGCGCAUUCACCGGCAUUGUCCUUCCUAAGAAACGAAUCGGUCAAGAGAUGCGGACGCGCCCGCAGGAGGGGAGGAAGAAGAAUCGGCGACAGUGGAGGUCAGAGCCGGAUGGGGACGUUCUCCAUCGGGAUCAAUCCAUUCCUUGUAUUGUCACACUGCUGCCAUGCUGGAACCCACCACACUGCAGCCUCCGCUCCGGAUGACGGAAGCCCGCGUGUGUGCAUGAAGGAGGUGGACCCCGGUCCUGGAACGAAGAACCGAAGAUCCGCAGUGGUCAACCUGCAAACGAAUAAGAAUCCACCUGGAGGAGAAAUGAUCCAGCCCAAACCACCCAGAAGAACUGAGAGAGCGCAGCGUACCCGACGAGGAGUCGGAGGAUUUUAGAGCAAAAGACCAACCAUCAGGGGUCAUUGACGCACAGUGAGCGGAGGCAGGAUGCUGUUGUCCCGGCAGACCUUGAAGUAGAUCUCCUGCUCCACGCCUUCGGGGAUGGCGCCCUGCGGGAUGAUGAUGCUGACCCCCGUCUCGAUGGAGCUCAGGACCCCGCCGUUGCAGUUGAAGAUGCCCCGAGCCGUCGCCACCACCGUGUGGCCCUCAUCUUCUUCCUCGUCAUCCUCCAGGGCGCUCGGGCUGAAAAGGCAGCGAUGCUCACGACCACGACGAGGCGACUCUUAUCCCCGAUUGGACCCACCGAGGUGGGUGCUUACCUGACCGGGAUGGCUUUGGGAACGGCGUUGAUGCUGUUGUGCUGGUACUUGGAGCGAUUGUCCAUCGUACGCGUGAACGUGUCCAGGCCGCUGUCGUGGUCCGUGUUGUGGGUCUGGGGGGGCUUGACUGGGCUGCCACUCUGUUCAAGACAAAAUAAUUAUCAUUUACAGUACUUUUUUACGUCUUUUACAGUAAGACUUCCGACAUUCCCAAUUCCGGUGUCUUACCUUUGCGGCCACAUCUGCUUUGUCAUUGGGCAGAAGGUUGUGGUUGAAUUUGGGACUGUCGAACUUGCGCUCGAACGGCCUGGCAGAGGUGGUGUACGGUUUGGGCACGUAGCGGUUGUAGCUAGAUGCUGGUGGAGCGCCGCUGCUGGUGACGGUUUUCGGAGGCUGUUCGCUGGUGCCGUUAACCGGAGACUUCUCGGCAAAGUUCUUGUGAGGCAGGAAGUUGCUCUGGACAGUGUCGGGCUUGGCUAGCGUGGGCGGGAAUCGGACACGUGUGUUUAUACGAAGUCAUUAGCUCGUCGGGAUUCGUCUUUUACCUUCGCUUGAGGGCUUGGGCAGUGUGGCUGGUGGCAGGGAGGGGGUCAGCUGGGGAACCGGCUCAUAUCGUUUCUCCGCCGGACUCGGUUUCUCCACGGAUUCCGUUCUGUUAGCACAGGAGUAAGAUCAUCAGUGUCAGUUCCAAAAGACUUGGAGUUGCCAAGGAACAGCCUCCAAAAUUCCACAACUCACCUGGAGAUGUUGUGCGCUGUUUGUGCUUGAGCUUGAGGUUUUGCGGGGCCAGUCUGGAGCCUGUCAAAGUAAGAGAGCUGCUUCCUGUAGUAGUCCUCGUCCUCAUCGGGGUCGUAAUGGUUGGAACGCACGAUGUCGUCAGCCACUUUGGACUGAGGCUUCUGAGGCUCGGGGACUCUGGGAAGGGGAGCAGGGGGGUCAGGACAGUGCAGUGCUUAGUAGGAAUUAGAUCAUUCUUUUUCUUAGGAAUGGAACAUGUUGACAUGACAUGACAUUUUUGAUCUCCGUCUGAGGAGCGAUGAGCUGUCUAAAACUAGCUUAGCUGAGUCGAGCGGGAAAAAAAAAAUCUCCUCUCAUUCAGUGUGGAAGUGGUAAAUUUUUUUUGCGUCUUUGUCCUCUUUCCCCACUCUGUUUCCCGCCUUCUAGAGAUGACACUUUUUGAUCUCCGUCUGAGGAGCGAUGAGCUGUCUAAAACUAGCUUAGCCGAGUCAAGCGGGAAAAAAAAAUUCUCCUCUCAUUCAGUGUGGAAGUGGUACAUUUUUUUGCGUCUUUGUCCUCUUUCUCCACUCUGUUUCCUGCCUUUCAAAAGAUGACACUUUUUCAUCUCUGUCUGAGGAGCGAUGAGCUGUCUAAAACUAGCUUAGCCGAGUCGAGCGGGGAAAAAAAAAUCUCCUCUCAUUCAGUGUGGAAGUGGUACAUUUUUCGGCGUCUUUGUUUUCUUUCCCCACUCUGUUUCCCGCCUUUCUAGCAAUGACACUUUUUGAUCUCCGUCUGAGGAGCGAUGAGCUGUCUAAAACUAGCUUAGCUGAGUCGAGCGGGAAAAAGAAAAUCUCCUCUCAUUCAGUGUGGAAGUGGUAAAUUUUUUUUGCGUCUUUGUCCUCUUUCCCCACUCUGUUUCCCGCAUUCUAGAGAUGACACUUUUUGAUCUCCGUCUGAGGAGCGAUGAGCUGUCUAAAACUAGCUUAGCCGAGUCAAGCGGGAAAAAAAAUUCUCCUCUCAUUCAGUGUGGAAGUGGUACAUUUUUUUGCGUCUUUGUCCUCUUUCUCCACUCUGUUUCCUGCCUUUCAAAAGAUGACACUUUUUCAUCUCUGUCUGAGGAGCGAUGAGCUGUCUAAAACUAGCUUAGCCGAGUCGAGCGGGGAAAAAAAAAUCUCCUCUCAUUCAGUGUGGAAGUGGUACAUUUUUCGGCGUCUUUGUUUUCUUUCCCCACUCUGUUUCCCGCCUUUCUAGCAAUGACACUUUUUGAUCUCCGUCUGAGGAGCGAUGAGCUGUCUAAAACUAGCUUAGCCGAGUCGAGCGGGAAAAAAAAAAUCUCUCAUUCAGUGUGGAAGUGGUACAUUUUUGCGUCUUUGUCCUCUUUCCCCACUCUGUUUCCCGCCUUUCUAGCAAUGACACCUUUUGAUCUCCGUCUGAGGAGCGAUGAGCUGUCUAAAGCUAGCUUAGCCGAGUCGAGCGGGGAAAAAAAAUUCUCCUCUCAUUCAGUGUGGAAGUGGUACAUUGUUUUUCAUCUUUGUCCUCUUGCCCCACUCUGUUUCCCGCCUUUCUAGAGAUGACACUUUUUGAUCUCCGUCUGAGGAGCGAUGAGCUGUCUAAAACUAGCUUAGCCGAGUCGAGCGGGGGAAAAAAAAUCUCCUUUCAUUCAGUGUGGAAGUGGUAUUUUUUUUGUGUCUUUGUCCUCUUUCCCCACUCUGUUUCCUGCCUUUCAAAAGAUGACACUUUUUCAUCUCCGCCUGAGGAGUGAUGAGCUGUCUAAAACUAGCUUAGCCGAGUCGAGCGGGGGAAAAAAAUUCCUCUCAUUCAGUGUGGAAGUGGUACAUUCUUUUUGCGUCUUUGUCCUCGUUCCCCACUCUGUUUCCCGCCUUUCUAUAGAUGACACUUUUUGAUCUCCGUCUGAGGAGCGAUGAGCUGUCUAAAACUAGCUUAGCCGAGUCGAGCUGGAAAAAAAAAUUCUCCUCUCAUUCAGUGUGGAAGUGGUACAUUUUUUUGCGUCUUUGUCCUCUUUCCCCAUUCUGUUUCCCGCCUUUCUAGAGAUGACACUUUUUGAUCUCCGUCUGAGGAGCGAUGAGCUGUCUAAAACUAGCUUAGCCGAGUCGAGCGGGAAAAAAAAAUUCUCCUCUCAUUCAGUGUGGAAGUGGUACAUUUUUUUGCGUCUUUGUCCUCUUUCCCCACUCUGUUUCCCGCCUUUCUAGCAAUGACACUUUUUGAUCUCCGUCUGAGGAGCGAUGAGCAGUCUAAAACUAGCUUAGCUGAGUCGAGCGGGAAAAAAAAAAUCUCCUCUCAUUCAGUGUGGAAGUGGUACAUUUUUUUGCGUCUUUGUCCUCUUUCCCCACUCUGUUUCCCGCCUUCUAGAGAUGACACUUUUUGAUCUCCGUCUGAGGAGCGAUGAGCUGUCUAAAACUAGCUUAGCCGAGUCAAGCAGGAAAAAAAAAAUCUCCUCUCAUUCAGUGUGGAAGUGGUACAUUUUUUUGCGUCUUUGUCGUCUUUCCCCACUCUGUUUCCCGCCUUUCCAGAGAUGACACUUUUUGAUCUCCGUCUGAGGAGCGAUGAGCUGUCUAAAACUAGCUUAGCCGAGUCGAGGGGGGGAAAAAAAAUCUCCUCUCAUUCAGUGUGGAAGUGGUACAUUUUUUUGCGUCUUUGUCCUCUUUCCCCACUCUGUUUCCCGCCUUUCUAGCGAUGACACUUUUUGAUCUCCGUCUGAGGAGCGAUGAGCUGUCUAAAACUAGCUUAGCCGAGUCGAGCGGGAAAAAAAAAUUCUCCUCUCAUUCAGUGUGGAAGUGGUACAUUUUUUUGCGUCUUUGUCCUCUUUCUCCACUCUGUUUCAAACACUUAAGUCAAUUUGAGAGGCUAACUGCCUAGCUCGCUAGCAUAGCCCCCACAAUGUGAUGUAAACAAAGAAAAAUAGCAUUGUAAAGGUGACAAUAGGGGUGUUAUAUCAUGUCUACAGGGCUCUAAUAAUGUUAAAAGCCGUAUUUAGAAAGUAGUAAACAGGUUUUCUGUGUUCCUACUUUGUGGAAAAUUCACUUAUCACCAACUAACCUCGAUAAAUGAGGGAUUACCUAAAAUAGCAUUAAAAAAAUGCUUACCUAUUGUAGCUCUUUUCCGAGUCCAGGUUGCUCAAAGAAUUAGCUUUUGGGAUGAUUCCCCCGGCUUUCAGGGGUAAAUCUGUUCCCUGUGGAAAGGGAAAGGGACAUCUGGGAUUAGUACCUGGGAUUAUGACGCGGAAAUGACAAAACGCACGGCAAAAUCAUUUACCCUGUUCCCGGAUAAAUCCCCCACAUCUCUGGCACGGUCCACGGACACGGAGCGCUUGUUCUCAAACAUCGUCACCCUCGUCAGGACCGACUGCGGCCGCAUGGCGGGGUCAUCCUCGUUUCUGGCAGUGUCGGGCUUCGGAGCGUCCACGGGGGAAGGCGAGGUUGCAUCCGUUUUGGAAGCGGGCGCGGCGCCGGUGUGGGAGUUGACGGGAACGGCGUCGUACUGCUGAGGUUUGUAGCCUUUCUGUUGUUGCGUGGGGCCGUGGUUGUACGCCGGACGCUGGCCGCCGGGCGAACGGGUGGCGGAAGGGUACGACGUUAAGUGAGAAUCCUGGUUGUAGUGCAUGUCGUGUCCGGGGGACAAGGGUGGAAGAUCAUCGUAGCGUGCGGGUCCCGACGACGUGGGUUUACCGUAACGAGGCCGCCCGUCAAAUCCCUGCUGAGGUGGAGCGUCGUCGUAGCGGAGCGGAGGGGCGUACUGAGAGUCGAGGCCGUCGCUGUAUGGCAGUCGGGGGUUGUAACCCUGGGAGUUGGCAGUGGCGUGCGUCUGGCCGUAGGGGCUCCACUGUUGCUGGUCAUAAUGAGGCUCGUUGUUCUCAAAGGGCGGCUGGGAGUCGUAAUCGCGGUACUUUGGUUCCGGGUAACCGCCGUCGUAGCGAUUGGGCGGGUGGUCAUAAUCUCUGUACGGCUGCUGGUCAGGGUGGUAGCCCUGCUGGGGGUUGUAAUUGCCGGCUUUUGUGGCGGGACCGGGUCUCCCGGUGCCGUCCGGGCUGUACGGAUCUUUCGGAAACAUCUACAAAUACACAACAAAACACCAGGUUAGCGCCGUCGCUAACAUGUAGCACGUACAAUAACAUGAUUUAUGAAAGGGUGAAGAAACGGAGAGUAUCAAAACAAGUCGGCGAAAUUAAUUACAGAAGAGGAAACGAGUGAGGAAAGACCUGCAAUAGAGAAACUGAGAGGGAGGAGUUACUGGUCAGGUUAUAAAUAAAUUUUAAUUAAAUUUUAAAUAUCACAAAAAUACACUGUACUUCAAAAUGAAAGGCAAAUAUAAAUAUAUAGCAAAACAAUGGGAUUCAUUUUUCACCUCAACAUGUGACCUGACGGGUGUAUCAGACGUAGCCGCUAAAUUUAGUUCAUAAAUAACGUGUCACACGUGUCCAUUUUGUCUGUGAGGACCAGGCAGCUCUUUAUUUGACAAGAGCCAA
Non-coding RNA from Doryrhamphus excisus (bluestripe pipefish), 6390 nucleotides. Lineage: Eukaryota; Metazoa; Chordata; Actinopteri; Syngnathiformes; Syngnathidae. The record is from RefSeq and is a predicted model, not a curated record.